GUGUGCACGCGCUCGUUUGCCAUCUUUCUAGCAAACGGGUCUGCCAUUAACUUGGUGGGUUCGGGAUCUAGAUCAUUUACUUUGAAAAAAUUAGAGUGUUUAAAGCAAGCAAUUGCUCUGAAUACAUUAGCAUGGAAUAAUAAUCUAGGACUUCGGUUCUAUUUUGUUGGUUUCUAAAACUGAAGUAAUGAUUGAUAGGGACAGUUGGGGGUGCUAGUAUUGGCCGGCCAGAGGUGAAAUUCUUGGAUUCGGUCAAGACUAACUUAUGCGAAAGCAUUCACCAAGGAUGUCUUCUUUAAUCAAGAACGAAAGUUGGGGGAUCGAAGACGAUCAGAUACCGUCGUAGUCUCAACCAUAAACUAUGCCAACUAGGGAUGGGUGAACGUUGCUUUUUCGACUUCAUCCGCACCUUAUGAGAAAUCAAAGUCUUUGGGUUCCGGGGGGAGUAUGGUCGCAAGGCUGAAACUUAAAGGAAUUGACGGAAGGGCACCACCAGGAGUGGAGCCUGCGGCUUAAUUUGACUCAACACGGGAAAAC
This 537-nucleotide ribosomal RNA is filed under the name uncultured eukaryote. RNAcentral's name for it is "SSU rRNA". It matches the Rfam family "Eukaryotic small subunit ribosomal RNA", at positions 676 to 1214 of the family's 1831-position model. The record is from RNAcentral.